UGAAAAUUUCAGCAAAGAAAAAAGACCCACUUUUGGCUUCCAAACACAGGUGCAAUAUGAAAAUCAAAAACGUCAUCUUGGUCUUCUUGGCUAACUGAGUGUGGCUCUCCAGGUGUAAAUACCCUUUUGUUGCAGAGCAACAUAGAGAUGGUCAACAAAUGUUUUGCGUACAUCUUCACCUCUAAAACUCAAGAAAACAUCGUAACUACACCGAAAAGUAUGAUCAGGGGAGGCAGAGGAAGGAUAAGAUCUCUUCUGCAUCAUUUAUGUUGGCUAUAUAUGGCUGUUGCUUCAAACAAGAAGCUGGAGAAGAGGAAAGCUACUUAAUGCGAGCUACUCUAUUACAUUAAUGCUAAUUUAUGACUACACUUAGUUGCAGAAGUGUCUUCGCAAUUACUAUAAUUAUAUAUAUGCACGACAAAAGGGGUGUCAUAAUACUCAAUAUAGUAAUUGAAAUUAUUGUACAUAGUCAUCUUCCAUCAAAAAAAAAAAAAAAAAGCAGCUGAGGAAGUCCGUCAACGCAACCAGACAGAAAUGCUUUUUUCUAAAGCAAGUAGCAUGAAUUAGAACAUGACGACAACUCUUUGAGUGCAUUAAUUUUUUCUGACUACUUUAUUCGGCAGACGACAGGGCAACCCAUGAAAGUCUUUUUUUUUUUUUCAUAAAAUAUUCUCUUAUACUUAAUCAUAUAUAUAUAUAUAAAAAGCAGGCCAAAGGCCCGCUGUGACAUGCCUCGUUGUUGAAAUCUAUUUAUCCUUUUUGUCAAUUUUUUGCCUUUUUAAGUUUUAAAAAUGAUUUAAAAAAAGUGUUAUAAAGAAAAUUGGAACAGUCAUGCCCUUUCGGAAAGUCACGCCCUUGCAACCUGAAUUUUUAUUAGGUAAUUAAAUUAACCUACAGUGAUAGAAAAUGAAAACAUUCCAAUUCCCAAAAAAAAAAAAAAAAACUACAACGACAAUCUCCGUACUGCGUGGCUUCGCUGCCCUGAUAUCUUGGAGGCUGUUUGUUUUGUUGCUAACGCCGACAUCUCUCCGCGCAAACGCUUCGCUCGCGGUCUUGAUUGGUAGACCACCAUUUCUGCAUAUAGAGACUAGAUGAGGCGAUAGUUACAAUAGACAAGGCGUCGUCGAAAUCUAAAGCCUAUGAUUUUGUAACUUUCAAGCAUGUUUAUUCUAUGAAUCUUUCUUCCGAAUGGAACCACUAGAUUUGUAGAUGCUGGGGUUUCUUGAGCAUGAAGCAGAGCAAGGAUAGGAGGCAUCAACAACUACAACAGUUGCCAUGAUUUUGGUACUUCUACAAUUUUCACUUAAUCGUGAUUUUGGCGAACUUGAAACUUGAUUUUGGAGACGUGUAUGAAUCGGAAAAGGUCAGCAGACAGGUGGACUUAAUCCUUAGGAGCUCUACCAGCGGUACUCUACAGUGCUCCAGUUGUUCCGGAGCCUCACUUCCGCGGUACUAUUUUGUGUAUGUAUAUUCGGGCACGGCAGUACCCGGCCCUUUCUAUGUAUAAGUGUACUAUGUCUAGAGGCUCGUAGACAGAUACGUACAGUCAGUCAGGUACAGAUAUAUGUAUAGUGUUUUGGCAUGUUAAUAUUGUUGUACAAGGUAAUAACGGAGUUUAUUAGUUUAUGUUCAAGGAAAAAAAAAAUGGCUCGGUUUACACGGCUUGCUAAGAGGUACAGGUAAUACGAUAGAUAAGGGGUGCUCGGUACAAGUAUCGGGUACUUAUCACGGCCCCUAGUCGGGUCGUGACAGUCUUGGGUU
Molecule: long non-coding RNA, 1761 nt
Organism: Lycium barbarum (goji berry)
Lineage: Eukaryota; Viridiplantae; Streptophyta; Magnoliopsida; Solanales; Solanaceae
Exons: 4
Source: RefSeq, a predicted model, not a curated record